GGGCUCGUAGAUCAGGGGUAGAUCGCAACGUUCGCAACGUUGAGGCCGCGGGUUCGAAUCCCGCCGGGUCCA
Molecule: transfer RNA, 72 nt
Filed under: Methanocalculus sp. MSAO_Arc2
Lineage: Archaea; Methanobacteriati; Methanobacteriota; Methanomicrobia; Methanomicrobiales; Methanocalculaceae
Description: tRNA-Ala
Rfam family: tRNA
About the family: Transfer RNA (tRNA) molecules are approximately 80 nucleotides in length. Their secondary structure includes four short double-helical elements and three loops (D, anti-codon, and T loops).
Source: RNAcentral